Molecule: long non-coding RNA, 1097 nt
Organism: Spea bombifrons (plains spadefoot toad)
Lineage: Eukaryota; Metazoa; Chordata; Amphibia; Anura; Pelobatidae
Exons: 3
Source: RefSeq, a predicted model, not a curated record
CUCUCUCUCAGCAAGCAUCCUUCACCUCUGGCAUCCAGCCCUGAACUCCUCUCCCCAAUGGCUCUUUUAACCCCUUCGAGACCGGGACGUACCUUAUACACCAUGGUUACAUGGCACCUGAUGACCGGGAAGUACCAUGUACGCCAUCGAUGAUGCGCGAUUCAGCGUUGCAGUGAACGCUGGGAUCGCGAGGGGAUGGCUGCUACUGACCGCUGGUUGACUCCGGUGAUCUGCAACAGCCGAUCCCCUCAGUUCCGUGCACGGAACUGAGAAAUGUAAAUGGGUACCUGUUCCUGGCCCUGAAGGGGUUAGUCACCUCAGCCAUGUGCUUUGCAGAGUACCAUCUGCUGGUCACUCCAUAAGAACUGCAGGUGAGUCAGUGACAGCAGCCAUCACUGAAAUCCCCUGAGGGGUUACACCUAGAAAGCUUUUUCUGCAGUAAUGUUGGUCUCAGGAACUCUUUUACAACUUUGUCUGAAAACUUAAUUCACGGUAAUUCCAAUUAUCCCCUUUUUUUAUUUGUUUUUUUCGCAGACCCCUCUCCCGUCCGCUAUCAUUAUCUGUUCCUUCUCCUGCUCAUCCUCCCGGUUUUGUUUGUGGUUUUCGUGUACCGGAGGCAUCAGAGCCGCAGUAAUGGAAGCAGACCCGCGACACGUGAGACGCGUGCCAGGAAGAGGACGCGUGAGCAGCAGUCCGCGCAGGACAGGGGAAAUGUACAUUAUGCCACCAUCUUCCAUGGUAAAAGUGUUGGAGAAACACCGAAGGAACUGCCGAGAAAAGGAGUCACAGAGGAAGAGCCCACGGAAUACGCUUCUGUGAAAAUACCCACAAGUUCCAACGCUGCUUCACAAGAACAGGACAUGGAAGAACCAUUCCUAUCCUACGCCACGUUCCAAGCGUCUCCCAUAGAGACAAAUAUUAAUGCCGUGGUACAAAGACAGCCUGAGCACCAGCUCCCAGAGGAAACCUACACACGUGUAAAAUGAGCAGGGGCAAUGCAACACAUCACAAAGAUCACCACGUUCAUUUAUUCAACAAUUUCACUUUGUUUACAGUUAUUCGUAAAAUAUUAGGUGUUGUAACUACUAAUGUUUCCA